CUCUCCAAGGAUGAUUUCAGUACCGCCUCAGUCUGAUUGCUGUGACUGAGUUAAUCCCCUUCUGAGCUGAG
This is a small nucleolar RNA of Tachyglossus aculeatus (Australian echidna), 71 nucleotides long. The record is from RefSeq and is a predicted model, not a curated record. Lineage: Eukaryota; Metazoa; Chordata; Mammalia; Monotremata; Tachyglossidae.